RNAcentral lists this ribosomal RNA (406 nucleotides) under uncultured bacterium. RNAcentral's name for it is "partial 16S ribosomal RNA". It matches the Rfam family "Bacterial small subunit ribosomal RNA", at positions 30 to 526 of the family's 1533-position model. The record is from RNAcentral.
AUUGAACGCUGGCUUCAGGCCUAACACAUGCAAGUCGAACGAGUGGCGGACGGGUGAGUAAUGUCUGGGAAACUGCCCGAUGGAGGGGGAUAACUACUGGAAACGGUAGCUAAUACCGCCUACCAUCGGAUGUGCCCAGAUGGGAUUAGCUAGUAGGGGGGGUAACGGCUCACCUAGGCGCCGAUCCCUAGCUGGUCUGAGAGGAUGACCAGCCACACUGUAACUGAGACACGGUCCAGACUCCUACGGGAGGCAGCAGGGGGGAAUAUGGCACAAUGGGCGCAAGCCGGAUGCAGCCAUGCCGGGUGUAUGAAGAAGGCCUUCGGGUUGUAAAGUACUUUCAGCGAGGAGGCGUUAAGCGCAGAAGAAGCACCGGCUAGCUCCGUGCCUGCAGCCGCGGUAAUAC